UAAUAUUUUGGUAAUAUUAACCCAAUCGCCAAUCAAUCACAAAUCAUUUUCAUCAAAAUGUACUUCAAACUAGGUUGUAUUGUCUUGAUCUCAUUUGUUUCAGUUAACACUGCUUCAAAUUUGAGAAUCAUUGGGGGCGAACCGGCAGAUAUAAAAGACUAUCCAUACAUAGUGAGCUUCCAUGACGAAUAUGAAUUAUUGUGUGGCGGGUCUAUUUUGGAUGAAUACACCAUUCUUACUGCAGCACAUUGUGUUAUUGAUUUGUAAGUGAUAUACAAACCUAUUGGCAUAUUCAUCUGUACUCAAUUCAUGUAGCACAAUGAUUGAAAAAUGAAGUACAAAGAUCA
Long non-coding RNA from Leptinotarsa decemlineata (Colorado potato beetle), 347 nucleotides. NCBI's taxonomy places the organism in Eukaryota, Metazoa, Arthropoda, Insecta, Coleoptera, Chrysomelidae. The record is from RefSeq and is a predicted model, not a curated record.